GUGUUCGUUGAAAGAAGAGACAGUUGGCAUCUCCCCUGAAGCGAUGGGAACAGCCUUUGGGCUUUUCUGUUACCGAAUACAUACGGUUAGGGCUACCCACCUCUUUGAGGUGGAUCUUACCCAAUUUUUUU
RNAcentral lists this non-coding RNA (131 nucleotides) under Amborella trichopoda. The record is from RNAcentral. Lineage: Eukaryota; Viridiplantae; Streptophyta; Magnoliopsida; Amborellales; Amborellaceae.